GACGAACGCUGGCGGCGUGCUUAACACAUGCAAGUCGAACGGAAAGGCCCUGCUUUUGUGGGGUGCUCGAGUGGCGAACGGGUGAGUAACACGUUAGUAACCUGCCCUUGACUUUGGGAUAACUUCAGGAAACUGGGGCUAAUACCGGAUAGGAGCUCCUGCUGCAUGGUGGGGGUUGGAAAGUUUCGGCGGUUGGGGAUGGACUCGCGGCUUAUCAGCUUGUUGGUGGGGUAGUGGCUUACCAAGGCUUUGACGGGUAGCCGGCCUGAGAGGGUGACCGGCCACAUUGGGACUGAGAUACGGCCCAGACUCCUACGGGAGGAAGCAGUGGGGAAUAUUGCACAAUGGGCGGAAGCCUGAUGCAGCAACGCCGCGUGCGGGAUGACGGCCUUCGGGUUGUAAACCGCUUUCGCCUGUGACGAAGCGUGAGUGACGGUAAUGGGUAAAGAAGCACCGGCUAACUACGUG
This 468-nucleotide ribosomal RNA is filed under the name uncultured bacterium. RNAcentral's name for it is "partial 16S ribosomal RNA". It matches the Rfam family "Bacterial small subunit ribosomal RNA", at positions 28 to 507 of the family's 1533-position model. The record is from RNAcentral.